This 329-nucleotide ribosomal RNA is filed under the name uncultured eukaryote. RNAcentral describes it as "partial 18S ribosomal RNA". It matches the Rfam family "Eukaryotic small subunit ribosomal RNA", at positions 1470 to 1796 of the family's 1831-position model. The record is from RNAcentral.
CCCUUAGAUGUUCUGGGCCGCACGCGCGCUACACUGAUGCAUUCAACGAGCCUAUCCUUGACCGACAGGUCCGGGUAAUCUUUGAAUCUGCAUCGCGACGGGGAUAGAUUAUUGCAAUUAUUAAUCUUCAACGAGGAAUGCCUAGUAGGCGCAAGUCAUCAGCUUGCGUCGAUUACGUCCCUGCCCUUUGUACACACCGCCCGUCGCUCCUACCGAUUGAAUGUUCCGGUGAACACUUUGGAAUAGUUCUUAUGUGAGGGGAAACUCUUUGCUUGGAUACUGUGAAGUUGUGUAAACCUUAACAUUUAGAGGAAGGAGAAGUCGUAACA